RNAcentral lists this ribosomal RNA (465 nucleotides) under uncultured bacterium. RNAcentral's name for it is "partial 16S ribosomal RNA". It matches the Rfam family "Bacterial small subunit ribosomal RNA", at positions 339 to 795 of the family's 1533-position model. The record is from RNAcentral.
CUACGGGACGCAGCAGUGGGGAAUAUUGCGCAAUGGGCGAAAGCCUGACGCAGCAACGCCGUGUGGGGGAUGAAGGUCUUCGGAUUGUAAACCUCUGUCAGGAGGGAAGAAGUGGUAUUUGUCUAGUAGGCAGGUACUUUGACGGUACCUCCAGAGGAAGCACCGGCUAACUCCGUGCCAGCAGCCGCGGUAAUACGGAGGGUGCAAGCGUUAUUCGGAAUAACUGGGCGUAAAGCGUACGUAGGCUGUCUGGUAAGUCAGGUGUGAAAGCCCACGGCUCAACCGUGGAAUUGCAUUUGAAACUGCUGGACUAGAAUCCGGGAGAGGGUAGCGGAAUUCCUGGUGUAGGAGUGAAAUCCGUAGAUAUCAGGAGGAACACCGGUGGCGAAGGCGGCUACCUGGUCCGGUAUUGACGCUGAGGUACGAAAGCGUGGGUAGCAAACAGGAUUAGAUACCCGCGUAGUC